GUUAGAGGGUUUCCGCCCUUUAGUGCUGAAGUUAACGCAUUAAGCACUCCGCCUGGGGAGUACGGCCGCAAGGCUGAAACUCAAAGGAAUUGACGGGGGCCCGCACAAGCGGGGGAGCAUGUGGUUUAAUUCGAAGCAACGCGAAAAACCUUACCAGGUCUUGACAUCCUCUGAAAACCCUAAAGAUAGGGCUUCUCCUUCGGGAGCAGAGUGACAGGUGGUGCAUGGUUGUCGUCAGCUCGUGUCGUGAGAUGUUGGGUUAAGUCCCGCAACGAGCGCAACCCUUGAUCUUAGUUGCCAUCAUUAAGUUGGGCACUCUAAGGUGACUGCCGGUGACAAACCGGAGGAAGGUGGGGAUGACGUCAAAUCAUCAUGCCCCUUAUGACCUGGGCUACACACGUGCUACAAUGGACGGUACAAAGAGCUGCAAGACCGCGAGGUGGAGCUAAUCUCAUAAAACCGUUCUCAGUUCGGAUUGUAGGCUGCAACUCGCCUACAUGAAGCUGGAAUCGCUAGUAAUCGCGGAUCAGCAUGCCGCGGUGAAUACGUUCCCGGGCCUUGUACACACCGCCCGUCACACCACGAGAGUUUGUAACACCCGAAGUCGGUGGGGUAACCUUUUUGGAGCCAGCCGCCUAAGGUGGGACAGAUGAUUGGGGUGAAGUCGUAACAAGGGUAACCGAA
Molecule: ribosomal RNA, 684 nt
Filed under: Bacillus albus
Lineage: Bacteria; Bacillati; Bacillota; Bacilli; Caryophanales; Bacillaceae
Description: bacterial SSU rRNA
Rfam family: Bacterial small subunit ribosomal RNA
Source: RNAcentral